This 375-nucleotide ribosomal RNA is filed under the name uncultured bacterium. RNAcentral's name for it is "bacterial SSU rRNA". It matches the Rfam family "Bacterial small subunit ribosomal RNA", at positions 521 to 896 of the family's 1533-position model. The record is from RNAcentral.
UAAUACGGAGGUGGCAAGCGUUACUCGGAAUUAUUGGGUGUAAAGGGCAAGUAGGCGGUCUAAUAAGUGGGUGGUGAAAUACUCCGGCUCAAUCGGAGAACUGCCUUCCAAACUGUUAGACUUGAGUGUGACAGAGGAAAAUGGAAUUCUCGGUGUAAGGGUGAAAUCUGUAGAUAUCGAGAAGAACACCAGCGGCGAAGGCGAUUUUCUGGGUCACUACUGACGCUAAAUUGCGAAAGCUAGGGGAGCAAACAGAAUUAGAUACUCUGGUAGUCCUAGCCGUAAACGAUGAGCACUAGGUGUUGGCUCCUUUAGGAGUCGGUGCCGCAGCUAACGCAUUAAGUGCUCCACCUGGGGACUACGGUCGCAAGGCUA